Suncus etruscus (white-toothed pygmy shrew) is the source of this 107-nucleotide small nuclear RNA. The record is from RefSeq and is a predicted model, not a curated record. NCBI's taxonomy places the organism in Eukaryota, Metazoa, Chordata, Mammalia, Eulipotyphla, Soricidae.
GUACUCGCUUCGGCAGCACAUAUACUAAAAUUGGAAUGAUACAGGUAAGAUUAGCAGGGCCAAUGCACAAGGAUGACAUGCAAAUUUGUGAAGUGAUCCAUAUUUAA